CUAUUUGUUCUCGCAUUAAUUCCCUUUGUUCUACCAACUGUUGUCCAUGCAGAUCUAGGAUUGCAGUGCUACCAGAUAGGCCUAACUUCACAUAUUAUGGUGUUUUUGGCAAAAUGGCCAGCAUAGCUAAUGUAGCUCUUUCCCCAGUAUUCUGCAUUGCUAAGUGCAAUCUUUAAGCCCUUGUGGCUUGAGAUUUUAUCCAUAUAUUUAUUUAAAGGAAGAGGUGCAGAAGCAGCAGUAGGCAAUUGGACAAGUACCUGACUGUUGUUGGGCCGACCGCACCUGAUUGGGUCCUGUCCGUAAGCACCACCCCUUUUAGAGGGUUAGCUUAGUUGGCAAUCCACAACAAUGAAGCUUCAGAUACUUAUUCUAAACAGGGUUAUAUUGAAGUUUGGAUAUACCAGAGAUCAACCAGCGAGAAGCAUGUAUAUACCAGGAAACCAAAGAAUUAGCCUAGAAGCAAGUAUUUUGUCCAGGACCUGCAAUGGAAAAUAUAAGACACUUAUCUAGCACUGUAUUCUAUGU
Lolium rigidum is the source of this 525-nucleotide long non-coding RNA. RefSeq lists it as uncharacterized. The record is from RefSeq and is a predicted model, not a curated record. NCBI's taxonomy places the organism in Eukaryota, Viridiplantae, Streptophyta, Magnoliopsida, Poales, Poaceae. The transcript has 3 exons.